Molecule: ribosomal RNA, 135 nt
Filed under: uncultured Glomus
Lineage: Eukaryota; Fungi; Glomeromycota; Glomeromycetes; Glomerales; Glomeraceae
Description: partial 18S ribosomal RNA
Rfam family: Eukaryotic small subunit ribosomal RNA
Source: RNAcentral
AGCAGCCGCGGUAAUUCCAGCUCCAAUAGCGUAUAUUAAAGUUGCUGCAGUUAAAAAGCUCGUAGUUGAAUUUCGGGACUAAUAUGUCGGUCGUGCCUCGGUACGUACUGGUUAUUUUUGGUUUUCCUUCCCUUC